AUUACAAUAGAGUAUUUUAUAGAAACAGUUGUACGAACCGUUGCCAUAGAAUCAUCUAUGGCAACACUUAAUUGAAUAAAAAAAGCUAUUGCACCGAUAUAACUAUUCCCACCAAAAAAUUUUGCUAAGUCCGCCAACAAAAACCCUUUAUUCUCCAAUCUGCCCAAAAAACCCUUUCAUCACUUUUUAUCUAGCAUACUCCAAUCCGCCAAAAAUAUUUCACUAAGCUCGAUCCGCCACUGCUCCGAACACCAUACGUCGAUCACAAUACCAUUGCUCCGACCACCAUUCUCCUCUGAUUGAACCACUACUCCAACUACCAUACCUUGAUUUCAAUGCUGCUCCGGCCACCACUGUGAGUAGGAAUAUGUAUUUGAAUCCCAAGUUGGGUGGGGUUUGGGUUGGAGCUCCUGCCACCACUGUGAGUAGGAAUAUUUCUAGUUAAUUCAGUUUCUCCUUUUUCAUUACCAGAAUUUCACUUUCCAGUGGCACACAUUUUUGUGCAUUACUAGAAUAAGAAAUUCAACUAUUUUUCCUUUCUAUUUGCUAUAAAGAUUACAACUCUUUUUAGUUUCUUCAACUAAAUUCUCAAGAUAAGAAUUAGAAAUUAUAGAAUCAAAGAGAGAACAUCAGUAGAAAUUCAAUUGCAAGAUACAUAAUUGCAGAGCAAAGACUAUUUCAUAGCAAUACGCCAUAGCAAAGACAGUUCUACAACAUUAACAACAGGUGCAAGAUGGGAAACUCUUGUAGUAAUACUUUGUUUCAGGUUCAAGACCUACAGGGGCAUUCUAUAUAACCCACUUGUUGUUUUGGGGUGUUCUUCAAUUUAGGGAUGUCUUCAAUUUGGGGAUUUGAAGGCUUGUGGUUGUGAAGUCAAAGGUUGACCUAAUUACUUCUUCUGGCAUGAACAAAGUCUCCCAAUCCUUCCCUUCAAAGUUGUUCAAGAUGGGAAAAUUUUGAUUCACCAAAGAACUGCUUUUGGUUUGAUGGUAACAAUAAGUUUAACUUUUGCUUUUCAUUUGGAUUCAUGCCCUUCUAUGUAUUAUAGAAGAAGUUUGUAUUGAUAUGGUAAAGGUUUGAUCAUUAUAUAUGUGUUGUUGGGUGAUUUAAAUGUGAAAUAAAUUUGAGAAACAAAUGCAACAACCCAAUAUAGUCCCAUAAUAAGAAUUUAAGGAGAGUGGGGUGUAUGUAGAUGGACCUUACCUUUGUGCUGUAGACUAUGAUCAAUGUAAAAUAUUAUAUACCAUCAUUCUGUAAAGCAUAUACCUGGAUGUAUUUCAUAUAUCUAAAAAGUUCAGAGAAUUCUUUCCGCUCCCACCAUUUUCACUGAUGAUUUCUAUAUAGUUAGCAUACUACUGAUUCUCUUGUAAUAUAUAGGGCCUAAGAACAAUUUGAAUUUCUUUAUUCUAAUGUAACUUGUAUUCCGAACCUUGUUGUUCAAACUUCAGGCCAGUGUCCAGAAGGUAGCCCAAGUUUGUUUAAAACUAAUGUAGAGCCCAGCUAGAUUGACCACAUAAACUUUGCAUGAGCUUACAUUAGUUGGUUAGAUCAAAGAAUAACAAUAGUUACUACGAUUUAGUCUUAAACAAGUUUAAGUUAUCUCUGCUAUGUGAAUGCAUUAUUAUUCGGCGUAUUUUGUGUUGGUUGUUGGUCUAUCGCAAAUCUCCACCUUUGUCCGAGUUUCAAAGCGAUAAUGUAAUCGAAGUCAUAUCGGUGGAGUUAAGUUAGAUCAAAUAUAUGGAUAAAUAGUGGUAGUAAGACUUGUAUGUUAAACAUUUCACAUUAUGCAAUUUGACUUUUGAAAGUCAAAAACUUUAAUAGAUUGAAGUGUCAACAUCUCGUGCACCUAGCCUGAACAUACCAGUCUUCAUAUAGAUUGAAGAAUGUGUAAAUCUGAUUUUAUCUAUAGAAUCAAUACCUUUUUUAAGUCUCACAUGAACAUCUGCUGCAAGAAGAGACAUUUUCCCUUCCCUCCCUCGCACAACAUACCUACAGAACUCCUCAGCAGUCCAAUUACCUCCAUUAUCAUUUCCGAAUUCUCCCUUGAGAAUAACUAUUUCCACUUUAGCUGAGGCUUUUGGUCCAAAGUCAAUAAUUUCUCCAGUUUUAUUAUCAACUAAAUAUCCACUUCAAUAAAAUUACCUCUAUCUCCUUUAAUUUCCACUUCGGUAAGUAUAGGAAAAAUAUACUUCUGUAGAGAACUUCAAUUUCAAGCUUCUUGGUUUUGGAGCUUGAAUAUCUAUUUCAGGGUUUCUAGAGAACAAUGAUGUCUCAAAUAUGAGAUUAACAGUCAAAUUGAUUGUGAAAGUAUCACAUGCUAAAUUGAGGAUAGGAAUACAGAAAAACACACAGAAUGGUCCUUACCCCUUGGCGAACAAAAACUUUUCCUCUGCCAAUUCAAGUUCACGUUUUACCUGAACCAAGAAAGUACACUUAGCAGAAGUCAUUGGAAUAUAAACAACAAAGUCAUAACAACUAAAUCUCCAAAAUUUAAGCAGUAUAAACUUUCUGCAAUAAUUAGCCACCGGAUUGGAAAUAUUGAUUACUAGACUAGUUUCAAUUCCCGAUUUUACUUGUAUUUCAUCUUCAAAGGUUGUAUUUCAAUAUUUAAUUUAUUCUCACUUCAAAAUCUAUCUAUUUAACAGAUAUGCAUAUAUUUCUCAGUGGAGUUCUGUGCUUCAAUUUGUAAAAACUAUUGUUGCAUUUUUUUUGUUAUCUAUUUACAACUGGUCAAGCUGCUUGAGUUAAGAGAGGCAAACCACAUAGAGUUCUGCAAAAUAAAGAUCAUGGAUGAAGAGAUCUGUAGAAGAAUCGAAUUCAGAGCUUCGUGCUAUUUUAGAGUUACUGAUGGAUCCUACUUGGUUGGCAACUGGGUUAAAAGUUGAUUUUGACACACUAGUAAAUGAAUGUGGAGAGAUUUCUUGUAGAAUCAGUGAAAUAAUAUCUGUACAUGGUGAAAGUGAUCAAAAGAUAAGUUCGUAUUGUAUCAUCCCAAAUUAGUUUUUGUUAAGAUAUCGAGUUGUCGUGGAAAGGUCAUGUCAAGAGGAUACAUUUAGAAGAAGAUGUGUGUUCCAGAAGUUCUUAACUUCAUUGCCUGUCCUUCUAGGUAGUCUACCAGCAAUUAGCGGCCAACUGCACCAAAAAAGAUAUGACAUUAAGUAUAGCAAAAUAGCAGGAAAGAAGCAGGUGCAGCGGGGCAAAGCAGUGAUCGAAUGUCGAGGAGCAUAUGGAGUCUGAUGAUGAGGUCUUUUUCAUCUUCUGACAUCAUUCCUCGCUUGAUAUUUGGCCGCAGGAAAUCAUGGAAAAUUAUGCAGAUAUAGUAUUUGCGAACAGCGAAGAUGCAAGAACAUUCUGUCAUUUUUCAUCAAAAGAAAGUCCCCUUUCUGCUACAAGGUGUUCAAAAUGAAUGAGAUGAAGAAAGAAGUGAUGUUAAUUAAUAUCGAUCUUUUUGAUUUUGAAUUUCAUGAAAAUUAUCACCAAUCAAAUUUGAUACUAUGUGUGAAAACUAAUAAUCAUUUGACUUUUACAUUUUGCUUUUGUGUUUAGAUUACUAGUUUGUUAAUUUGGAUUAUAUUAAUGAAAGAUUUUGUUGUGA
Capsicum annuum is the source of this 3595-nucleotide long non-coding RNA. RefSeq lists it as uncharacterized. The record is from RefSeq and is a predicted model, not a curated record. Lineage: Eukaryota; Viridiplantae; Streptophyta; Magnoliopsida; Solanales; Solanaceae. The transcript has 5 exons.